RNAcentral lists this non-coding RNA (84 nucleotides) under Pseudomonas trivialis. The record is from RNAcentral. Lineage: Bacteria; Pseudomonadati; Pseudomonadota; Gammaproteobacteria; Pseudomonadales; Pseudomonadaceae.
CUUUAUGGCGGCUGUGCGUGGGAGGCCUUGCGCCUGCCGAGUUGCUUGUUCUCGGAUUCCAACCUGCGUACAGCUGCCAUCCUC